Molecule: ribosomal RNA, 627 nt
Filed under: Pantoea stewartii
Lineage: Bacteria; Pseudomonadati; Pseudomonadota; Gammaproteobacteria; Enterobacterales; Erwiniaceae
Description: bacterial SSU rRNA
Rfam family: Bacterial small subunit ribosomal RNA
Source: RNAcentral
CACAGAGGAGCUUGCUCCUCGGGUGACGAGUGGCGGACGGGUGAGUAAUGUCUGGGAAACUGCCCGAUGGAGGGGGAUAACUACUGGAAACGGUAGCUAAUACCGCAUAACGUCGCAAGACCAAAGUGGGGGACCUUCGGGCCUCACACCAUCGGAUGUGCCCAGAUGGGAUUAGCUUGUAGGCGGGGUAACGGCCCACCUAGGCGACGAUCCCUAGCUGGUCUGAGAGGAUGACCAGCCACACUGGAACUGAGACACGGUCCAGACUCCUACGGGAGGCAGCAGUGGGGAAUAUUGCACAAUGGGCGCAAGCCUGAUGCAGCCAUGCCGCGUGUAUGAAGAAGGCCUUCGGGUUGUAAAGUACUUUCAGCGGGGAGGAAGGUGUUGAGGUUAAUAACCUCAGCAAUUGACGUUACCCGCAGAAGAAGCACCGGCUAACUCCGUGCCAGCAGCCGCGGUAAUACGGAGGGUGCAAGCGUUAAUCGGAAUUACUGGGCGUARAGCGCACGCAGGCGGUCUGUUAAGUCAGAUGUGAAAUCCCCGGGCUUAACCUGGGAACUGCAUUUGAAACUGGCAGGCUUGAGUCUCGUAGAGGGGGGUAGAAUUCCNGGUGUAGCGGUGAAAUGC